GAAAGUGUAGUUAAACAAUAACAUGAAUAUGUCAAAUUCAAAUUACCACAUUAGUCACAUUCA
This 63-nucleotide transfer RNA is filed under the name Pseudocellus pearsei. RNAcentral's name for it is "tRNA-Asp". The record is from RNAcentral. Lineage: Eukaryota; Metazoa; Arthropoda; Arachnida; Ricinulei; Ricinoididae.